RNAcentral lists this ribosomal RNA (440 nucleotides) under uncultured bacterium. Its description in RNAcentral is "partial 16S ribosomal RNA". It matches the Rfam family "Bacterial small subunit ribosomal RNA", at positions 338 to 795 of the family's 1533-position model. The record is from RNAcentral.
CCUACGGGGGGCAGCAGUGGGGAAUAUUGCACAAUGGGGGAAACCCUGAUGCAGCGACGCCGCGUGAGCGAUGAAGUACUUCGGUAUGUAAAGAUCUAUCAGCAGGGAAGAAAAUGACGGUACCUGACUAAGAAACCCCGGCUAACUACGUGCCAGCAGCCGCGGUAAUACGGAGGGGGCAAGCGUUAUUCGGAUUUACUGGGUGUAAAGGGAGCGUAGACGGCUGUGCAAGCCAGAUGUGAAAGCCCGGGGCUCAACCCCUGGACUGCAUUUGAAACUGUGUGGCUGGAGUGUCGGAGAGGCAGGCGGAAUUCCUGGUGUAGCGGUGAAAUGCGUAGAUAUCAGGAGGAACACCAGUGGCGAAGGCGGCCUGCUGGACGAUAACUGACGUUGAGGCACGAAAGCGUGGGGAGCAAACAGGAUUAGAUACCCUUGUAGUC